Molecule: long non-coding RNA, 468 nt
Filed under: Homo sapiens (human)
Lineage: Eukaryota; Metazoa; Chordata; Mammalia; Primates; Hominidae
Description: long non-coding RNA NONHSAT017148.2
Source: RNAcentral
CCCCAGGUCCCUAUCAAGAUGCAAGUCAAACACUGGCCCUCAGAGCAGGACCCAGAGAAGGCCUGGGGCGCCCGUGUGGUGGAGCCUCCGGAGAAGGACGACCAGCUGGUGGUGCUGUUCCCUGUCCAGAAGCCGAAACUCUUGACCACCGAGGAGAAGCCACGAGGCACCAAGGCCUGGAUGGAGACCGAGGACACCCUGGGCCAUGUCCUGAGUCCCGAGCCCGACCAUGACAGCCUGUACCACCCUCCGCCUGAGGAGGACCAGGGCGAGGAGAGGCCCCGGUUGUGGGUGAUGCCAAAUCACCAGGUGCUCCUGGGACCGGAGGAAGACCAAGACCACAUCUACCACCCCCAGUAGGGCUCCAGGGGCCAUCACUGCCCCCGCCCUGUCCCAAGGCCCAGGCUGUUGGGACUGGGACCCUCCCUACCCUGCCCCAGCUAGACAAAUAAACCCCAGCAGGCCGGG